RNAcentral lists this ribosomal RNA (494 nucleotides) under uncultured bacterium. RNAcentral describes it as "partial 16S ribosomal RNA". It matches the Rfam family "Bacterial small subunit ribosomal RNA", at positions 28 to 507 of the family's 1533-position model. The record is from RNAcentral.
GACGAACGCUGGCGGCGCGCUUAACACAUGCAAGUCGAACGGACAGGCCUGCUUUCCCUUGUGGUUUGCGGGUACUCGAGUGGCUAACGGGUGAGUAACACGUGAGUGAUCUGCCCCCAACUUGGGUAUAAGCCUGGGAAACUGGGUCUAAUUCCCGAUAGGACUGCAGGGUGGUGCCUUUGGUGGAAAACGUUUUUCUAGUGGUUGGGGAUGAGCUCGCGGCCUAUCAGCUUGUUGGUGGGGUAAUGGCCUACCAAGGCGGGGACGGGUAGCCGGAGGGAGAGGGUGGACGGUGACAUUGAGACUGGGAUACGGCCCAGACGGCUGCGGGAGGCAGCAGUGGGGAAGAAUGGGGAAUGGGCGGAAGCCUGAAGCAGCGAGGCAGCGUGGGGGAUGUCGGGCUUCGGGUUGUAAACUACUAUGGACCGAGAGGAAGGCACGUGGUUGGACGGGUGGUGACGGUAGUGGUAGAAGAAGCACCGGCUAACUACGUG